This 450-nucleotide ribosomal RNA is filed under the name uncultured bacterium. RNAcentral's name for it is "bacterial SSU rRNA". It matches the Rfam family "Bacterial small subunit ribosomal RNA", at positions 328 to 793 of the family's 1533-position model. The record is from RNAcentral.
UUGCCAGACUCCUACGGGAGGCAGCAGUGGGGAAUAUUGGACAAUGGGGGGAACCCUGAUCCAGCGACGCCGCGUGAGUGAAGAAGUAUUUCGGUAUGUAAAGCUCUAUCGGCAGGGAAGAAAGGAAUGACGGUACCUGACUAAGAAGCCCCGGCUAACUCCGUGCCAGCAGCCGCGGUAAUACGGAGGAUGCGAGCGUUAUCCGGAUUUAUUGGGUUUAAAGGGUGCGCAGGCGGCACGGCAAGCCGGCGGUCAAAUCGCGGGGCUCAACCCCGCCCAGCCGUCGGAACUGCCGGGCUAGAGUGGGCGAGAAGUGCGCGGAAUGCGUGGUGUAGCGGUGAAAUGCAUAGAUAUCACGCAGAACUCCGAUUGCGAAGGCAGCGUACCGGCUCCACACUGACGCUGAGGCACGAAAGCGUGGGUAUCGAACAGGAUUAGAUACCCCAGUAC